GUAUAAUUCACGUGGCUACUGUAACACUCCCUGUCCCAAUUUCAAUACUUUUAUCAAAUAUACCACGUGCAGAAUACAAAUUUUCUUUGUGGGUCACACACUACAGUCCUCUGGAGUGACUUUUUAAAUAUCCACCAAUUCUCCUGAAUCCUCCAUCAAAACCAUCUUCUCUCUCUCAGACAACACAAACUCAUAAAGAGUUGAAAAUGUUAUCAAUUGAGCCUAAUUCAGGGUUGAGAAUCCUUAUACAGCUCAAAAAUGGCGAAUCCAACGUUGUAUUCAACACUGCUUCAAAACUGAUAAACCCCAGUUUUUAUCUGAAUCAGACGCAACCUCCCUCGAUCCAUUCUUGCUUUCUGAAAUUGUGUUUCCUUUGUAACAAGCACUUGAGUCUUGAUAAAGAGGUGUACAUGUAUAGGGGUGAUCAGGGUUUUUGCAGUGUGGAAUGCAGAAGUAGGCAAAUAUAUAUAGAUGAAAUGAAAGAGAUAGAAAUUUCUACUAAGAAAGUGUUGGCAUCGAUGAGGCAGCGCGGGAGUAGUGGCCGGUGUGAGACUAGUAGCGUUUUAGAGGAAUCCCGGCAGCGGCGCCGCCCAUUUUCAACUCGAGCAAGUCGAGUUGUUUUCUCCUAGUUGAUCUGAUUUAAAAACAGUGUUUUCCAAUUCCUUCUGUAUUUUUGUCAGUUGAAUCAAGAUAGUAUACACAGUAAAGCUAUCCUAACAGGGAUAGCAUACAGAUUUUAGAAACAGCUACUGUUUCGUAUCUUUUUAUUUUUUAUUAUUUUUCUAAUAUCCAAUCAGUAAAUGACACGUGUUUGCCUACAUUUAAACCCUAUCCCUAUCCCUAUUUUUGUAGCAUUUCUCUAGUACACAAAGAAGUUCAGAUUUCAGAUAAUUUUUUAUCUAGAUAAUGUUGUUUAAAUGUAUAUCCAGAUUGAAUUAUGUAGAAG
Molecule: long non-coding RNA, 946 nt
Filed under: Olea europaea subsp. europaea
Lineage: Eukaryota; Viridiplantae; Streptophyta; Magnoliopsida; Lamiales; Oleaceae
Source: RNAcentral